RNAcentral lists this ribosomal RNA (275 nucleotides) under uncultured bacterium. RNAcentral's name for it is "partial 16S ribosomal RNA". It matches the Rfam family "Bacterial small subunit ribosomal RNA", at positions 338 to 605 of the family's 1533-position model. The record is from RNAcentral.
CCUACGGGCGGCUGCAGUGGGGAAUUUUGGACAAUGGGCGAAAGCCUGAUCCAGCCAUGCCGCGUGAGUGAAGAAGGCCUUCGGGUUGUAAAGCUCUUUCAGACGGAAAGAAAUCGGCAGGGUAAAUAAUCCUGUCGGAUGACGGUACCGUAAGAAGAAGCACCGGCUAACUACGUGCCAGCAGCCGCGGUAAUACGUAGGGUGCGAGCGUUAAUCGGAAUUACUGGGCGUAAAGCGUGCGCAGGCGGUUGUGCAAGACAGAUGUGAAAUCCCCG